Nerophis ophidion (straightnose pipefish) is the source of this 632-nucleotide long non-coding RNA. RefSeq lists it as uncharacterized. NCBI's taxonomy places the organism in Eukaryota, Metazoa, Chordata, Actinopteri, Syngnathiformes, Syngnathidae. The transcript has 2 exons. The record is from RefSeq and is a predicted model, not a curated record.
CGGAAGUCUGCGUGUGACAGUCUGACGCUUACUUGUUUACACACGAGACAUAUUUACGUGAUUCAGCGCUUAAAGUUUGUUGUUUCUUCCACGAAGUGCCUUGGAAACAUUGUCUAAAGAAACAAGACAGCAUUAUGGACUUGGUACAAAGGAAGGUGUGCACACCACGGCAAGCGGCUGCACUGACUGAUGCUAUCCUGAAUAUGUUGGUAACUGACAUGAGGCCACUAUCAAUGGUGGACGAUGAAGGUUCUAGACAAAUGAUUCACGUCCUCAACCCUGGUUACACUCUUCCCUCGAGGAACCAUUUUACCAUUUGAUUGAGAGGAAGUACUAGCGGACAUUCCAUGCUGUGUAGACUGACAUAAAAGCCACCCAGAGCAAACUUGCUCUCACUAUUGAUGAGUGGACAAGUGUGGCCUGCCUUGGCAAUACAUGUCACUACAGUGGAGACGAAUGGAACAUGAAGUCAAUCUGCCUUACGACCAUGCCACCAGAGGAAAGACAUUCAGCAUCCAACAUUGCAGAAUGGUUGGAAUAGGUAAUAGCCAGGUUUGAAAUUCCCCUAUGCAAAAUGAUUGCUAUUGUGCAUGACAAUGGUGCACUUUAUUAAAAAAAUAAAAUUUUUGUAA